CAAGAAUCAAGGAUAUACUUGACUGGUACCCAGCUCCUGUUCUAAGGUCAAUAACCUUCCCAGUCUACAAGGAGUGCCCUUCGGACCGUUAACGUUCUGUGCUGCCUGUCGUGUUUGUCGAUUUGGAGGAGUUCUCUAUCCACAGAGCAUGAGCAGUAAGCAAGAAAACAAAAGAGCAAAUACCUGGUGUGAUUACUAUUAAAUAAUUAGAAACACCUCCAUUCUGGCCCAACCAAAGAGAUCUACUGGUUCACAAGUCCAAGGUUCAUCUAUUCACAAAUUAAAAUUCACCUAGAUAAAGCUGACAUGAAACAAAUAUAACUGCUACCAGAAAUAAAUGCAUCUUUCUCAUCCCAUGUCCUUUCCCCUUCAGUGAAUUUUUUUUCCCAAUAGUUGAAUUUUAUUCUUGUUUGGUCUGACUGUUGCUUUAGCUGAAAAAUCAAAAAAGCUUAGUUUUCAUGUGUCUCCCAUAUCACUGAAACACAGGGUUGCUGUAGCAAUCAUAAAUGCUAUGUUUAAACUGAUGCUAUCAUCUUUGAGUUGUGUAAAAAAAAAAAAACUUCCAUUAUUACUAAGAUUUACUUCAUUAUACUAUGGCAUCUUAAUAUAUUUAUUAUAUACAGAUGAGUAAUAAAUUAAAAUCAAACAACGUCAAGGUACCUUAGUAAGGUGUUGGGCUUCCUUGAGCCACCAGAAUGCUCUAAAACUACUGGAGGGGUUAAUACUCUUAAUAAUACCAAGUAAUAAAUCAAUGUAGGUAGUGCUUGUUAUUAAGAAAUACUUCUAAAGUAGUUCUUACAAAUGCUGCAAUUUUAAUGCUAAAUUCUGCAAAAUGUUAAUGCUUAAAAAAAGGGAUCAUAAAAGCUGUCUUUUGUUUUUUUAUUUAGUGCUGCCCUGAAUAAGCUAUUUCACACAGCAGAUGUUUAAAUGUAGUCCACAAAACAAAGUAAUAACUGAAUUUACACAAAUUAACCAGUUCAAAAGUUUACAAAAGCUUGAUUCUUAAUACUGUGUGUUGUUAUCAGGAUGAUCAACAACUGUUUUUAUGUCUUGCGAUAGUUGUUCAUGAGUCCUUUAUUUGUCCUGAGCAGUUAAACUGCCCACUGUUCUUCAGAAAAUCCUUCAGGUCCUGCACAUUCGUUGCUUUUCCAACAUCUUCUGCAUAUUUGACCACUUUCCAACAGUGGUUAUAUGAUGUUGAGAUCCAUCAUUUCA
Molecule: long non-coding RNA, 1215 nt
Organism: Pangasianodon hypophthalmus (striped catfish)
Lineage: Eukaryota; Metazoa; Chordata; Actinopteri; Siluriformes; Pangasiidae
Exons: 3
Source: RefSeq, a predicted model, not a curated record